CCUACGGGUGGCAGCAGUGGGGAAUAUUGCACAAUGGGGGAAACCCUGAUGCAGCGACGCCGCGUGAGUGAAGAAGUAUCUCGGUACGUAAAGCUCUAUCAGCAGGGAAGAAAAUGACGGUACUUGACUCAGAAGCCACGGCUAACUACGUGCCAGCAGCCGCGGUAAUACGGAGGGGGCAAGCGUUAUCCGGAUUUACUGGGUGUAAAGGGAGCGUAGACGGCAGAACAAGUCUGGAGUGAAAUCCCGGGGCUUAACCCCGGAACUGCUUCUGAUACUGUGCAGCUGGAGUGCAGGAGGGGGGAGCGGAAUGCCUAGUGUAGCGGUGAAAUGCGUAGAGAUUAGGAGGAACACCGGUGGCGAAGGCGGCUUACUGGACUGAAACUGACGUUGAGGCUCGAAAGCGUGGGGAGCAAACAGGAUUAGAUACCCUUGUAGUC
RNAcentral lists this ribosomal RNA (440 nucleotides) under uncultured bacterium. Its description in RNAcentral is "partial 16S ribosomal RNA". It matches the Rfam family "Bacterial small subunit ribosomal RNA", at positions 338 to 795 of the family's 1533-position model. The record is from RNAcentral.